GCCUUGGAGGGCUGGUCUACCUGCUGACCCCACUUGGCAGACCAGCUCUGCUAAAAAAAAAUAGCACUCGAAACACUCGAAACGUUUUGAGUGUUUCAUCAAAACAGGAAAAUCCAUUUUGUGCACACCUGUACUUAGUGGUAACAUUUCCACAUUUCGUAUUUUACAUCCCAAGUCACACCACCAGCCAUCAUCACAUCCCAAAUCCAGGAGACAUCCAGGCAGACAGUUUGCUGUUCUUCCGCAGUCUCCUCAUCAUGCAUCUAGUCCUCUUUGAGGAGUUCUUAACUUGAGUCAGAGCUUACAAGAAGCUGUUUUCGGUGUCACAUUUACCUCAGCUCUGGGACACAAGAGGCAAUAGGAAAGGGGUACUUUUGAACUGGUGCAAAGUUCUUUCCCCAGGCCAUCAGCUACCACUUCACUGCUUCUGGAGGCAGAUAUAAGAACUUCCAAGACAGAUGGCCUGACUUUCAGACAGACUGGCAUCCCUAACUCAGAAAUUACACACCACCUGUGGGUGCCUGCCUUCUAUCCUCACAGAGUUCUGGCAUAUUUGAUGGUCCGUAUAUGCUGAUGGUCCACAACACAGCCUACUGAGGUAUUCGGAGGCAAGCCAAGGACAGCAUGUCAAUCUUCAGAUUGAAUUUCCUGCCUGGUGUUAGUUUGGUCCAUAGUUUUAACAUUACUAAGAAGAACACAGACUUUUGUACACUCGUCUGAAAUAACACGCAAGUGCCAGCCAUUGCUGCGGUUCAAAUGGCAACGAAAACAUUCUGGCGAGUCCUCUGCUCCACAGGAUGAUUGCCUCAUGCAUGAGCCAUGACAUGAGCUCAGGAACAACAAACAAGGUAAAUGAGGUAAGGGAGAUCAUUCUUCACAGCAGCAGAUUCCCAGAGAAUAGGUAGGAUCAAAAAAUAAGACACUUGUUGACAAAAUGCCCAUGAAUUAACGCCAUCCAAACUUGGUAGAUUACAAGGCCAGGAUUAUCCAUCACUCAAGCAUCUUGUGAUGGAGACUUUCCAUGGGUAACAGGGCUGGAUUGAUCAUUAGGAUAAGCAUGAUACAGAGUCACACUCCAACCAAGGGGAGCCCUGGAAUAGUAUACAUAUCAAACUAACUUACACUAAAUUAGACCAUUGGUCUAUCUAGCCCAGCAGUAGUUCUGAAUGGCAGUAGUUCUCCAAAGCCUGAAGCAAGGAUCUCUCUCAGCUCUGCUAUCUGUAAUCCUUUUACUGAAAUUGCUGGGGUACUUUAUGUGUGCAAGACAUAUGCUCUGCUGCUGAACUGUGGCCUACCUAGCGGCGAACUUUUAUACAUUUUAAGUGUUUAAUUCUUGGUUUGUUUUAUGCUGUACACUGCCUGGAGACUUCGGUGUUGAGCGGUAUGCAAAUUUGCUAAAUAAUAAAUAAAAAUAUAAGCAUUG
Long non-coding RNA from Hemicordylus capensis (graceful crag lizard), 1423 nucleotides. RefSeq lists it as uncharacterized. The record is from RefSeq and is a predicted model, not a curated record. The transcript has 2 exons. Lineage: Eukaryota; Metazoa; Chordata; Lepidosauria; Squamata; Cordylidae.